UGGGGAAUAUUGGACAAUGGGGGGAACCCUGAUCCAGCCAUGCCGCGUGUGUGAAGAAGGCCUUUUGGUUGUAAAGCACUUUAAGCGAGGAGGAGGCUACCGAGAUUAAUACUCUUGGAUAGUGGACGUUACUCGCAGAAUAAGCACCGGCUAACUCUGUGCCAGCAGCCGCGGUAAUACAGAGGGUGCAAGCGUUAAUCGGAUUUACUGGGCGUAAAGCGCGCGUAGGUGGCCAAUUAAGUCAAAUGUGAAAUCCCCGAGCUUAACUUGGGAAUUGCAUUAGAUACUGGUUGGCUAGAGUAUGGGAGAGGAUGGUAGAAUUCCAGGUGUAGCGGUGAAAUGCGUAGAGAUCUGGAGGAAUACCGAUGGCGAAGGCAGCCAUCUGGCCUAAUACUGACACUGAGGUGCGAAAGCAUGGGGAGCAAACAGG
RNAcentral lists this ribosomal RNA (430 nucleotides) under Actinomycetes bacterium. Its description in RNAcentral is "Actinobacteria bacterium partial 16S ribosomal RNA". It matches the Rfam family "Bacterial small subunit ribosomal RNA", at positions 355 to 776 of the family's 1533-position model. Lineage: Bacteria; Bacillati; Actinomycetota; Actinomycetes. The record is from RNAcentral.